GUGCUGCAUGGCAUGCGGAAUCUUAGCUCUCCGACCAGGGAUCAAACCCUAUGCCUCCUGUAGUGGAAGGGCGGAGUCUUAACCACUGGACCACCAGGGAAGUCUCAGAGACGGUGACCAGGAUGGCCUGGAAAAGGGUAUAGUGGUCUGACAUGGAGCAACGUACCUUGGUGUGCUGCACCUCACAGUGGAUUUUUGUAGAUACGAGGAGUGUGCUCUCUAAACUCCACUUGCUCUGGAGCCUGUAAAUG
This is a non-coding RNA of Kogia breviceps (pygmy sperm whale), 251 nucleotides long. NCBI's taxonomy places the organism in Eukaryota, Metazoa, Chordata, Mammalia, Artiodactyla, Physeteridae. The record is from RefSeq and is a predicted model, not a curated record.